GUGGCUUCCGGAGCUAACGCGUUAAGUCGACCGCCUGGGGAGUACGGCCGCAAGGUUAAAACUCAAAUGAAUUGACGGGGGCCCGCACAAGCGGUGGAGCAUGUGGUUUAAUUCGAUGCAACGCGAAGAACCUUACCUGGUCUUGACAUCCACAGAACUUUCCAGAGAUGGAUUGGUGCCUUCGGGAACUGUGAGACAGGUGCUGCAUGGCUGUCGUCAGCUCGUGUUGUGAAAUGUUGGGUUAAGUCCCGCAACGAGCGCAACCCUUAUCCUUUGUUGCCAGCGGUCCGGCCGGGAACUCAAAGGAGACUGCCAGUGAUAAACUGGAGGAAGGUGGGGAUGACGUCAAGUCAUCAUGGCCCUUACGACCAGGGCUACACACGUGCUACAAUGGCGCAUACAAAGAGAAGCGACCUCGCGAGAGCAAGCGGACCUCAUAAAGUGCGUCGUAGUCCGGAUUGGAGUCUGCAACUCGACUCCAUGAAGUCGGAAUCGCUAGUAAUCGUGGAUCAGAAUGCCACGGUGAAUACGUUCCCGGGCCUUGUACACACCGCCCGUCACACCAUGGGAGUGGGUUGCAAAAGAAGUAGGUAGCUUAACCUUCGGGAGGGCGCUUACCACUUUGUGAUUCAUGACUGGGGUGAAGUCGUAACAAGGUAACCGUAGGGGAACCUGCGGUUG
Molecule: ribosomal RNA, 681 nt
Filed under: Escherichia coli
Lineage: Bacteria; Pseudomonadati; Pseudomonadota; Gammaproteobacteria; Enterobacterales; Enterobacteriaceae
Description: bacterial SSU rRNA
Rfam family: Bacterial small subunit ribosomal RNA
Source: RNAcentral